Acanthosepion pharaonis is the source of this 88-nucleotide non-coding RNA. Lineage: Eukaryota; Metazoa; Mollusca; Cephalopoda; Sepiida; Sepiidae. The record is from the annotation of a GenBank genome assembly.
CGAGUUCCCUUACGAUCACCGAAGUUAAGGAACAUCGAGCCGGGUCUGUACGUAGAUGGGUAACGACUUGUGAAAACCAGGUGCUGUA